UGUUUGCUAUGAGGAGAUCACAAGGACGGUAUCUGAGAAAGGUGACUUUUUAAAAAGAGCCACCGCCCUGAUUAUAAAUCCUAAACUGAUCAAACUUUCUGAGCAAAUG
This is a non-coding RNA of Hordeum vulgare subsp. vulgare (domesticated barley), 109 nucleotides long. NCBI's taxonomy places the organism in Eukaryota, Viridiplantae, Streptophyta, Magnoliopsida, Poales, Poaceae. The record is from Rfam.